Dendroctonus ponderosae (mountain pine beetle) is the source of this 1002-nucleotide long non-coding RNA. RefSeq lists it as uncharacterized. Lineage: Eukaryota; Metazoa; Arthropoda; Insecta; Coleoptera; Curculionidae. The transcript has 2 exons. The record is from RefSeq and is a predicted model, not a curated record.
AUUGGGUUCGGUCAUACACAUAACUCAGAUUUUACUUCAAUGUAUUUACUAGUAUUCACUCGUAUUUAUUUUUGCUAUUGAAACUAAAUUAUAUUAUUUUUUCACAUUUUAACAAAUGCUCUUUCCAAUAUUUUUUCCUAUUUGAUGUAGUUUAGUUCAUCACUAUCGUAAGGAUAAAUAGUGUCGACCACAUCAACUAGUCGAAAAGGUACUUACGUGCUUUUGCUCCAUAAAAUAACAAAACCAAACAAAAAUACUUAAGCAGCCACAUUUCAUUCGACAACGACCUCUUAACUUAUGAAAACGUAUUAGUACUACAAAUCCGUGUACUUGAAGAUUUCGAAGAAUGGCAACAAAUACAGGUUUGAGUUUGCAUCUUAUAGCUGUCAGUGCUCCGUAGUUUGUUUUCGUGCUGGUAAACAAAUGUUAUAGUUUAUAGUUACCACAGACUUUUACAUUUUGUAGUUGUUCGCAAGAUAAUUUGCUAAUAAGAUGUGUUAUUAAAUACGUUAUUCAAAUACGCUAUUCAAUCAAUUUUAUUGCCUGUUUCAUAAAUUUUCAAUUUUUACUUGACAAGCUGACUUUUUCAGCUAUUCGACAUUUGAAUUGUUUGAUAUUUUCUGGAGGAAUUUGCAAAAAUUUGCGUCUUUAAAUAUCUCAAACAGAAAAAUGUCUGGUGCAGUUAUUGCAUUUUCGCACACUCUCACCAGAACUUUUAUAGAGUUUAUAGCAGUGUUAGCUGCUGCUCCAUUUUCCUAUUUGAUUUAAUGAUCUUCAUUUUUCUAUAUCAGGAACGUCUCUAAUAUAUUUGCCCAAAGUUCAGACGUUUAUUCAUUCUUUAAAGAAACAGGGGUCAAAAUUGUCAAUUUUUUUAUUUUGAAAGUAGUUUAUUAUAAUUUCUUGAGGAUUUUCGUUUGACCGUUGCCUAAAGCGCUGUUUUUGGGAAACCUUCAGAAAGAAUAUUUUUUGUUUACCUUAUGGCAAUAAAUGCAUUAAAAUAUA